CAAAAAUUAAAUCUAUGAGACACAAAAGAUACUCUCACGCACAAACCCGCUAAACCAAAAACCCCAAUAGCCCUAAACCCGCAAAAAAUAUAGCACUCACCCAAAUUUGUGACCCUAUCUUCAGCCUUUCCUGCAAAUUGGCAAUGACGUCUGCUCCCCCGAAGAUGACAAGUCAUGUGGAGAAUUGCAUCAGAUGUUAGUUCCUUCUCCCUUUAAAAAGUCUUGGAAAAACAAAGAGAAAGUUGUUCAUCUCAACUCAUACUACAUAAAAUUUUGCCCCUUUCCAGAGGAUAGGGUUUACGAAAAGUUUGGUCUAUUCAUCAUGCCUUGUCUUCCAGCAGAGGCUGAGAAACUGGAACUUGAUCUUCAUCUUGCUCAUGGUAGAUUUGUUAUAUCAACAUUUGUUCCAUUUGGAGUUGUAGAAUUCGAAGAUUAAGAUGGGUGAACAUUAUUAAGAGAUGUUCCUUAAAAUUAUUUUUGACCGAUCAGAAUUUGUGUCUGAUCGUGUAACCCUAGGUGAAGGCAAUUCAAGAGGUUGUCUGCUAUGGAAUUAUCAGAUUUUGGCUGAUUUCUUAUUAUGAGUUGUGGAGUCAUUCUUCUACAGUAGGCAGGUCUUCUGAUUCUCUACUCCUAUGAUCGUAUGUUAUAUCAUUAUUUUUUUGUGUUGAUAAGGUAUAAUGCUAUAUACUGAAUUUGUUUUAUUCAUCCUGAAAAUCAUGCUGCCUCAAAUAUCAUCUUAAUAUAUCAUAUGAUUCCGUGGUCAAGGAACAAUCAAAUUAUAUGUGGUCUUCAAUGUUUUAGAGAUUUUUUAUUAAUUAUGUUAAAGUUUCAAUGGGGAUGUACCGCAAACGUUCUUUCAUUCAGCUCAAGGACUUGCAAGUUGUCCACCGGCAAGUACGAGAUUCUGGAUAUGGAGAUAUAUGGCCGAUGAAACUUUAGCUAUUGCUGCUUCAAAAAUCCUUCCUCUUUGGAAUUACUUUUGUUUUCUCAGAUUUGUAGCCCCCACCCCCCCCCCAAAAAAAACACAAAAUACCAAAGAAAAGGGAAAAAUCACAGAUGUUUUGUUAACUAUCUUAUUCUUUGUAAGAAAAAGUAAGAAACAUUUAAUGGUUCCUUGAAUAGUCUUACGUGUUCAUUCUAUUAUCUUAUUAGCUCAGGCAAUCACUCUAUCGACCUGUAUAGUUGACCACAACAAUGCAUUGUUCGCUUUGCUGGUGUCAAAUGAUUUUACUGACAUACAAAGCAAUGUGUUUACUCGAUACAGCAUGGAGAAUGUACACAGUUUGGUUUAGUUUGAGGCCAUCAGAGUGCUCCACUGAAUUUGCAGAAAGGGUGAGAGAUAGUCUCAAAACGUGCUGCCUUAAAAAUGGUGCAUGGGAUGGAUAUCUAAAGUACAAAUUAAAAUGUUAGGAGAGUUUGGUUCUCUCAUGAUCCAUUGUUAUACUUUAGCUGGUUAUUUAUGUAUUGAAACUAGUCUUGGCAGUCUGUGUGAUACUUCUUAAUGUGAAGCAAUAUCUGCUUGCCUUUGCUGAAUACUGUCUAUCUUCUCUUUGGUUUAAUUAAUUGACAUAUUGGACCAUACCAAUUGCCUUCAAAGAAAAGUUAGUUUCAAACCCCUUAAUUUUGCCACUUUCCAUAUGCCAGAUAUACACAGCAGCAACAUACAAGAAGUGCUUUUUGUUCUUAUAAAAUGAAAAAAUUUCUACUUUCAGUAUGCUUAUUAUAGGCGCAAUCAAAAUCCACAAGUGGGUUCAUAAGAAGUCGGCGUUUUUGUGCUUCGUGCAUCUAGUGUGGAUGUGAUAGUAAUGCUUACCAUGGAAGUUGGCAUUGAAGAAGAUUUAUUUAACUGAUAGUGAUCAUGGUCUUGACUUUAGUUUUUGAUAGUUAGGUAUUGAAUUUCAGUAAACAAAGCUUAAGGUACAAGGAGGCAAUACGAUAUCCUUAGUGGAGAGAGUUGGUUUAUUACAUGCAAAUUUGAAAGUUAUCACGAAUAAGAGAGAAACCAAGAAUCUUACACAUCAAGUAAUCCUAAAUGGGGGGAAUUGGAAAUUUUGUCCUUUGAAAUCAAGUUGGUUGUUUUCAAAUCUAUCAGGUAGAAAUUCUUCAAGAUUUUCCCAUAACUCAGGGUCCCUUUGGAUUCCACAUACAUUAAAAAAUGCAUGAUUUUAUCUAAUUUUCUGUAAAAUAACAUAUAACUUAUUCUAAAUGAUGUGUCAAUUUUUAAUUGGAUAUUAUCUUAAUCUAAUAACUAACUAUAUUUGUGACUUGAGUUACUUCAAUUUAAUUAGACUUAAUUUUUAAAAACCCAAUUUUUUUUAACAAAAAUGAUAUUUGCACAUCAAAAAUAGCCAUUAAAAUUAGGUAGUAUAUAUUUGUGUACGAAGACAUAUAUAGUUUAACUCUAUUCUACCUUAGUAGUUGAUUUUGGUGUAUAGCUCAAAUGGAAUAAUUUUUUUAUACUCACCUAGAAGUUACAAGUUUAAGUUUCACUUCUAAUUUGUACAAAAAAAAAACCUUGUUUUUCUAAUUACCAACUUUUGUGUGUUGAUUGUAUUAAAAAAAAUCUGAUAGUAAGCAUCAUCAACAUGAAAGAUGUGGUUAUGUGUAUAAACAAGUUCGAAAGUAUUUAGGGCAAGUUAAAGUAUAACAAGAUAUAAAUAGUUAAGA
Long non-coding RNA from Arachis stenosperma, 2667 nucleotides. RefSeq lists it as uncharacterized. NCBI's taxonomy places the organism in Eukaryota, Viridiplantae, Streptophyta, Magnoliopsida, Fabales, Fabaceae. The record is from RefSeq and is a predicted model, not a curated record. The transcript is spliced from 7 exons.